This 293-nucleotide unclassified non-coding RNA is filed under the name Hevea brasiliensis (rubber tree). The record is from RNAcentral. Lineage: Eukaryota; Viridiplantae; Streptophyta; Magnoliopsida; Malpighiales; Euphorbiaceae.
AUUCAAAUUAGAGAAACGUAAUCGUUCUGUGACGGAAUAACAACAGAUUUUGUCUGCUGCAUUAACACAAACCUACUACUUGUAUCAUUAUAAUACAAGAGGACCUAGUUUCUCUGGAAGCCAAGUCGCCUAUCUAUAUCGAGAUCAAGGUAGCUUAGUACCGAGAAAACAUUGAUGCCUCCAAACGAAACGAUCUUACCUCCCAUUUUUUUCUGUGCAGCAACUAAGAAUUUGAUAGAUGCCACAUUAACAUCAACAAUCAAUACCAUGUCAAGCAACAUGCUUGGAUCUUA